RNAcentral lists this unclassified non-coding RNA (243 nucleotides) under uncultured Bordetella sp. RNAcentral describes it as "partial 16S-23S ribosomal RNA intergenic spacer". It matches the Rfam family "Bacterial small subunit ribosomal RNA", at positions 10 to 256 of the family's 1533-position model. The record is from RNAcentral. Lineage: Bacteria; Pseudomonadati; Pseudomonadota; Betaproteobacteria; Burkholderiales; Alcaligenaceae.
GGUUCGAUCAUGGCUCAGAUUGAACGCUGGCGGGAUGCUUUACACAUGCAAGUCGAACGGCAGCACGGACUUCGGUCUGGUGGCGAGUGGCGAACGGGUGAGUAAUGUAUCGGAACGUGCCUAGUAGCGGGGGAUAACUACGCGAAAGCGUAGCUAAUACCGCAUACGCCCUUCGGGGAAAGCGGGGGACCUUCGGGCCUCGCAUUAUUAGAGCGGCCGAUAUCGGAUUAGCUAGUUGGUGGG